GGGGGUGAUAGGUAUCGACUCUGAAUAUCAAGAUAGUGGAAGCGAGUCGUGGUCCCGGAGCCACGUUAAAGAGCCGGAAAAUAAAAUAAACGCCGAGCAACCGCUCGCACUUGCUGCUUAAAUAACCAGCAACGCCCAACCGUUCUCAGUCUUAUGGAACGAAUUUGGGUGUCAUAAAGUAGGACUUACGUUAUUUGCCCAUGUCGCAAGCAAAUAACGGACACUAAAGCGACUAAAAAGACACUAUGGCGUCAAAGGCAAGGUGUCUUUUGAAAUUAAACCUUUGACUGCACUCGGAGAAUAAUUAUCAAGAUGUCAGAGGACGCGGGUUCAAUUCCCGCCACCUCCACUA
RNAcentral lists this transfer-messenger RNA (352 nucleotides) under Acidimicrobiales. RNAcentral describes it as "JAJZMK01 sp021829645 Standard tmRNA". It matches the Rfam family "transfer-messenger RNA". From Rfam's summary of the family: Bacterial tmRNA, also known as 10Sa RNA or SsrA, is named for its dual tRNA and mRNA-like properties. The record is from RNAcentral. RNAcentral also lists the same sequence under 1 other name. Lineage: Bacteria; Bacillati; Actinomycetota; Acidimicrobiia.